GACGAACGCUGGCGGCGUGCUUAACACAUGCAAGUCGAACGAAAAGGCCCUGCUUUUGUUCCGUUCUCGAUUGCCGCACGCGUGAGUAACACGCGAGUAACCUGCCCUUGACUUUCUGAUAACUUCACGAAACUCCGGCUAAUACCGGAUAGGAUCUCCUGCUGCAUGGUGGUCGUUGGAAAGUUUCGGCGGUUGGGGAUGGACUCGCUGCUUAUCAGCUUCUUUGUGUGGUAGUGGCUUACCAAGGCUUUGACGGGUAGCCGGCAUGAGAGGGUGACCGGCGACAUUGGGACUGAGAUAGGCACCAGUCGCGUUCGGGAGGCAGCAGUGGGGAAUAUUGCGCAGUGGGGGGAAGCGUGAUGUAGCAACGUCGGGUGCGGGAUGACGGGUUUCGGGGGGUAAACAGCUGUGGCCUGUGACGAAGCGGGAGUGACGGUAAUGGGUAAAGAAGCACCGGCUAACUACGUG
This 468-nucleotide ribosomal RNA is filed under the name uncultured bacterium. RNAcentral's name for it is "partial 16S ribosomal RNA". It matches the Rfam family "Bacterial small subunit ribosomal RNA", at positions 28 to 507 of the family's 1533-position model. The record is from RNAcentral.